GCCAGGGUGGCGUAGUGGUUAGCGAGUCUGCCUACUGAGCAGGAGCUUUGGGUUCGAUUCCCAGCCUUGGUA
Molecule: non-coding RNA, 72 nt
Organism: Schistocerca cancellata (South American locust)
Lineage: Eukaryota; Metazoa; Arthropoda; Insecta; Orthoptera; Acrididae
Source: the annotation of a RefSeq genome assembly